This 358-nucleotide unclassified non-coding RNA is filed under the name Lycoperdon sp. RNAcentral's name for it is "partial internal transcribed spacer region". The stretch from base 1 to 46 matches the Rfam family "Eukaryotic small subunit ribosomal RNA", at positions 1786 to 1831 of the family's 1831-position model. Lineage: Eukaryota; Fungi; Basidiomycota; Agaricomycetes; Agaricales; Lycoperdaceae. The record is from RNAcentral.
AAGUCGUAACAAGGUUUCCGUAGGUGAACCUGCGGAAGGAUCAUUAUUGAAUAUUCUUGAUGGGUUGUAGCUGGCUCUCCGGGGCAUGUGCACACUUGUCUUGACUUUAUUCGUCCACCUGUGCACCUUUUGUAGUCUUGGGGGUUGAGAGCAAGUCAACUAUCGGAUGGCUAAGGCCUUACCGGACGUGAGGAUUGCUGAGUGCGAAAGCAUACAGCUUUUCUUAAAUGACUUGCAAAACCUCUCCCUCGAGUACUAUGUAUUCAUAUACCACAUAGUAUGUUGUAGAAUGUGAUCAAUGGGCCUAUGUGCCUAUAAUAAUGAAAUACAACUUUCAGCAACGGAUCUCUUGGCUCUC